RNAcentral lists this long non-coding RNA (893 nucleotides) under Homo sapiens (human). RNAcentral describes it as "HSALNT0087944". The record is from RNAcentral. Lineage: Eukaryota; Metazoa; Chordata; Mammalia; Primates; Hominidae.
CUCUCGCUCUGUUGACCAGGCUGGAGUGCAGUGGCGCUACCACAGCUCACUGCAGCCUUGACCUCCCAGGCUCAAGCAAUCCUCCACCUCAGCCUUGCAAGCAGAUGGGACUAUAGGACAGUGGCAUACUAUCACAUCUAUCAAAGAAAAUGUGAAAAGUGCCUGAAAUGUGCUACUGAUCAACCAAUAGCAGUGAAAACUCACAUAUGGUACACAUUCCAUUUGGAUCACAAAAGCAAAGGUGAGUAAUGUCACCAUCAUUCACUGAGGUGGAGUUGAAUGACAGCUUACCCUUCCUCCAGGUCCAUUUUCACAGCCCAAUUCAUCACAUACUCUGUUGGCUAAACUAACUGCUGAGAUUCUUCGGGGUUGGGUACAGACAAUGUUACAUUUACUUGCUUCCCACUCAUUUAGAAGCAAAUCUUCCAAUAGAAAAUGUGGUACCUGAGUACUUUUACCACUCCCUGUUUCACCUGCCACAACCACUACCCGAUGCCUUUUAAGAGUUUCAACAAUUGAGUCCCGAUGUUUAAAUACAGGUAGCUGUUGUCUUUCCUUUAGAAGUUUCUGAUACUUAGGUGUGCUUUGCAACUUUCUAAAGAGGUUUCUAACAGGUUCCAAAUCUUCCACAUUUGCUGAUUCCAAGGACAGUGCAGAAAAAUCCUCAUCCGAAACUAAAUUUUCCCAAGAUUCCUCGGGAUCUUCAGAGUUUUCUCUCUUAUUUUCAGAAUGCUGUUGUUGCUGCUGUUGCUGCUGUUUCAGUUUAUUCAGAAGUUUGGCAAUAAAAAGAUCACGUGGUUUAUUGGUUUCCAUUUUAUUUAAUUCUUCCCUUUUCUUUUCUGCAUCACUCCACUCCAGCCAAACAUCUCGGUAAGUGGGAGGAAGUAACUGAU